GCUGAAUCACUAGUAGGAUGCUUAACUGAUUGAACCACUCGAGGGCCCCCUCAAAAAGUCAGCACUGUGUUAGAUGAAGGAGAUAAAAAACAGCCCAAGAUUGGAUCUACUCUCAUCUCAAGCAAUGUGUCAACAUCGAGGCAGCUGAGUCUCUAGAGGAAGAUCACUCUAUCUGUUUCAAGAACUUGUCAAGGGGCUAGUACACAAGCAGGGGAAGCAGAAGGCAGAGGGAGAGGCAGAAGGAGGCUCCCUAAGGAGCAGGGAACUGGACGCAGAGCUCCAUCCCAGGACUCUGGGAUCAUGACCUGAGCCAAAGGCAACUGAGCCACCCAGGUGUCCCUUGAAAGAGAGAGAGAGAGAGAGAGAGGCGGAAGCAGGCUCCAUGCAGGGAGCCCGAUGUGGG
Long non-coding RNA from Canis lupus familiaris (dog), 403 nucleotides. RefSeq lists it as uncharacterized. NCBI's taxonomy places the organism in Eukaryota, Metazoa, Chordata, Mammalia, Carnivora, Canidae. The transcript has 5 exons. The record is from RefSeq and is a predicted model, not a curated record.